RNAcentral lists this small nucleolar RNA (99 nucleotides) under Cavia porcellus (domestic guinea pig). RNAcentral's name for it is "Small nucleolar RNA U13". It matches the Rfam family "Small nucleolar RNA U13". The record is from Rfam by way of RNAcentral. Lineage: Eukaryota; Metazoa; Chordata; Mammalia; Rodentia; Caviidae.
AUCAGGUUCAUAAGCGUGAUGAUCGGAUGCUCAUGCUCCAUGCAUGACAUGUGCCUCCUUUGAACCAUGUUACGACAUCGACAUGUUACCCAUCUGAUG